RNAcentral lists this transfer RNA (72 nucleotides) under Ovis aries (sheep). It matches the Rfam family "tRNA". Rfam says of the family: Transfer RNA (tRNA) molecules are approximately 80 nucleotides in length. Their secondary structure includes four short double-helical elements and three loops (D, anti-codon, and T loops). The record is from Rfam by way of RNAcentral. Lineage: Eukaryota; Metazoa; Chordata; Mammalia; Artiodactyla; Bovidae.
UUCCUGGUGUCUUAGAUGGUAAAGAAUCUGCCUGCAGUGCAGGAGACCUGGGUUCAAUCCCUGGGUUGGGAA